RNAcentral lists this ribosomal RNA (346 nucleotides) under uncultured bacterium. Its description in RNAcentral is "bacterial SSU rRNA". It matches the Rfam family "Bacterial small subunit ribosomal RNA", at positions 8 to 352 of the family's 1533-position model. The record is from RNAcentral.
AGAGUUUGAUCAUGGCUCAGGACGAACGCUGGCGGCAUGGAUUAGGCAUGCAAGUCGAACGAAAAGCAGGAGCUUGCUCCUGUGGACGAGUGGCGAAAGGGUGAGUAACGCGUGAGUAACCUGCCCUCAAGUUGGGGAUAACCUUUGGAAACGAAGGCUAAUACCGAAUGUGAAUAGUUUUCCGCAUGGAAUUCUAUUUAAAAAUUUAUUGCUUGAGGAUGGGCUCGCGUACCAUUAGCUAGUUGGUAGGGUAAUGGCCUACCAAGGCUACGAUGGUUAGCUGGUCUGAGAGGAUGAUCAGCCACACUGGAACUGACACACGGUCCAGACUCCUACGGGAGGCAGC